CCUACGGGUGGCAGCAGUGAGGAAUAUUGGUCAAUGGACGAGAGUCUGAACCAGCCAAGUAGCGUGAAGGAUGACUGCCCUAUGGGUUGUAAACUUCUUUUAUAAAAGAGUAAAACGAGGCACGUGUGCCUGUUUGCAUGUACUUUAUGAAUAAGGAUCGGCUAACUCCGUGCCAGCAGCCGCUGUAAUACGGAGGAUCCGAGCGUUAUCCGGAUUUAUUGGGUUUAAAGGGAGAGUAGAUGGGUUGUUAAGUCAGUGGUGAAAGUUUGCGGCUCAACCGUAAAAUUGCAAUUGAUACUGGCAGUCUUGAGUACAGUUGAGGUAGGCGGAAUUCGUGGUGGAGCAGUGAAAUGCUUAGAUAUCACGAAGAACCCCGAUUGCGAAGGCAGCUUACUAAACUGUGACUGACAUUGAUGCUCGAAAGUGUGGGUAUCAAACAGGAUUAGAUACCCUUGUAGUC
RNAcentral lists this ribosomal RNA (460 nucleotides) under uncultured bacterium. Its description in RNAcentral is "partial 16S ribosomal RNA". It matches the Rfam family "Bacterial small subunit ribosomal RNA", at positions 338 to 795 of the family's 1533-position model. The record is from RNAcentral.